UUUUUUUUUUUUCUUUCCAGACAUCCUGACAUAAUCACGGGGCUCCUUUGAAAACUGCAUCGAGUAAUUUAGCACUUGGGGAGGGAGGAAUUAUAUCCGUUUGAAAAGAAACCUCACACACGCAGAACCUCCAAAACGAUCGAUAAAUUUCCCUCGACCUUCUUUACCGCCCGGGAAAUAUCCUCUAGCCUAAAAUCCCUUUCCGAAGCGGGGUCCCCCUGUUUUGGAGCUGAACGGAGGAGGCUACGCUUGCAGCGCGGAGCUCUCCACGGCCAAGUCCGAUUUUUUUCGGGAAAAGAGAGUGAUGUCGGCCGCAGCACCCUGGAGGUCCGAGCCCUGCUCGCUCUCUGUGCUCCGUACACCCUCACACAGAUCUGUGUGCAUGUUGUGUGUGUGUGCGGGGACACAUCCAGGCACAGGAACCGCAAGCAGAGCCUGGAGAACACAAGCUUUCCCUGGGUUUUGUCAGAUAUAAAACAGGCCGGGGACAGUGAGAACAAAAACCAAAAGGACUCGGAAUGGGAUUUCCCAGAAUUUUCCUCUUCUCCCUAAAUUUUUGUAGCAUUCUCGCACUCGUCGCCGUGGCCAUUUCUCGUGGGCGCCUCCAGCGCAGCCCCGGCCUCUGCUGGCCCAGCCACGGCCGCGGAGCUGAGCCCGGCCUGCCCCGGGAACACCUCCUGAAGCCUCUCUCUUGAACUUUUCCUACCCAAGGUCUCGACAGGCUGCUCUCGCUGUCCUCUUGGCGUCUACAUGGAGAAAAUCUGGCAGGGGCUCCCUUCCCAGCAAUCCCCGAUGUGCUCCAAGCGCACCGAGAGGCAGCCUCUCUCGGAGGGAGGGGUGCGCUGCGCUCGCAGUCAAAUUACAUGGCUGGCCUCAAAGGCACCAGCUCCGGAUUUCCAAAUUAAUACUCAUCUUUUAAAAGACGAGCCAAGAAGAAAUUUCGAGGAAGGUCUCAGAUGCGGGACCUUGGGGGAAAAGGCUCUUUUCGGAGUUUUAGAAAACUUCACCUCGGUGCAGUGCACAGAUGAGGGAAUACCUGGGCAGAAGUGCUGCCUUUCCCCGCGUCGCUUCACUGGCCGUUCCCCUGGGAUAGUGCGGGUCACUCAUCGCUUGUCCGGCUCUUCUCGCUGCAAGAACACCGCAAAGGUCAGGCCGCUGCGGGGAGUCACUGCUCGGCUCCCGCCUGCGCGCUGCGGGCGGACACCGGCCGUGCUGCUCGGCCAAGCUCUUCACAGCCGCCACAUCUCUCCGUCAGCAUCCAGACACAGCGCUCGGGGUCAGGGCCGGGCUGGAAUAGCCGUGGCCGGGACAGGAGUACAGCAGCCUGCCCGGGCAGGGCUUGGCCCCGAGCCGGAGCUGGCCGGGCACGGAGCGGGGCUGCGGCACGGAGCGAGCCCGGGGAGCUGCGGCGGCCCCGGGUCCUCGCUCCUCUCCUCUCUCAGGCAGUGAAGGCGGCAGGGGUAGCAGCCGGGAAUCGAAAGUGACCCUCUCUCCCGACUCCUGCCAGGUCUGCGCUGUUUGAUGCUGCGAUCCAACUUGAGCGAUAAUUUUCUCCAUAUGGGCAAGAGAGCGCGCACACGGCGGUUCUCUCCACAAAUCACCUACCUCCAAUUGCUUUUCACUUUCCACAAACAGUUACAGGGGGAAUAAAUAAAUAAAUAAAUAAAUAAAUAAAUAAAAA
This 1681-nucleotide long non-coding RNA is filed under the name Parus major (Great Tit). RNAcentral describes it as "lncRNA (ENSPMJG00000005538.1)". Lineage: Eukaryota; Metazoa; Chordata; Aves; Passeriformes; Paridae. The record is from RNAcentral.